CGCCUCUUCGAUUUCUGAGCUCGCCUCGUCGAUCUCUGAAAUCCCGUCGAGUGAUGAUUUUUAUAGAGGCGCGCAGUUCGUUUCAAAGUACACUUGAAUUUCCACCUGUAGAAACUCCCUUCUUGCACUUCUAAGAUCCUGAUUUGUUCGACCUUAUCUUUCUUCAACACCUUUGAAAAUGUCUGGCCUCUCCUACCAUCGUUUUGACUUGAACCUUGGUGAAGAGGCAUCCAUGCCUUCUCCAGACAACAUAUGGCGUCCAUCCUUCAUAUCCCCUAC
This 279-nucleotide long non-coding RNA is filed under the name Malus domestica (apple). RNAcentral's name for it is "long non-coding RNA (MDOM_LNC005606)". Lineage: Eukaryota; Viridiplantae; Streptophyta; Magnoliopsida; Rosales; Rosaceae. The record is from RNAcentral.